CUUGGUCAUUUAGAGGAAGUAAAAGUCGUAACAAGGUCUCCGUAGGUGAACCUGCGGAGGGAUCAUUACAAGAACGCCCGGGCUACGGCCUGGUUAUUCAUAACCCUUUGUUGUCCGACUCUGUUGCCUCCGGGGCGACCCUGCCUUCGGGCGGGGGCCCCGGGUGGACACUUCAAACUCUUGCGUAACUUUGCAGUCUGAGUAAACUUAAUUAAUAAAUUAAAACUUUUAACAACGGAUCUCUUGGUUCUGGCAUCGAUGAAGAACGCAGCGAAUUGCGAUAAGUAUUGUGAAUUGCAGAUUUUCGUGAAUCAUCGAAUCUUUGAACGCAUAUUGCACUCUAUAGUAUUCUGUAGAGUAUGCUUGUUUGAGCGUCAUUUCAUUCUUAAACCUCUAGGUUUAGUAUUGGAGGAUGUAAUUCUUUAUGGAUAACUCUUCUGAAAUGACUUGGCAUCUUUACCUUGUGUAAAUCUAAGCUUGUAUGAACUUAUUAUUAGGUCUAACCAACUAAUGAGUACUCAUCUGGCGUCUUACCCAAGGGUUUAUUAAAGUGCCUAACAAAAUUUAUCAUUAAUUUUGACCUCAAAUCAAGUAAGGAUACCCACUGAACUUAAGCAUAUCAAUAAGCGGAGGA
This 634-nucleotide ribosomal RNA is filed under the name uncultured Saccharomycopsis. RNAcentral's name for it is "partial 18S ribosomal RNA". The stretch from base 224 to 377 matches the Rfam family "5.8S ribosomal RNA". The record is from RNAcentral. Lineage: Eukaryota; Fungi; Ascomycota; Saccharomycetes; Ascoideales; Saccharomycopsidaceae.